UACAGAGGUCUCAAGCGUUGUUCGGAUUCAUUGGGCGUAAAGGGUGCGUAGGCGGCGCGGUAAGUCGGGUGUGAAAUCUCGGGGCUUAACUCCGAAACUGCAUUCGAUACUGCCGUGCUUGAGGACUGGAGAGGAGACUGGAAUUUACGGUGUAGCGGUGAAAUGCGUAGAUAUCGUAAGGAAGACCAAUGGCGAAGGCAGCUCUCUGGGACGGUACUGACGCUGAGACGCGAAAGCGUGGGGAGCGAACAGG
RNAcentral lists this ribosomal RNA (253 nucleotides) under uncultured bacterium. RNAcentral's name for it is "partial 16S ribosomal RNA". It matches the Rfam family "Bacterial small subunit ribosomal RNA", at positions 524 to 776 of the family's 1533-position model. The record is from RNAcentral.